Molecule: long non-coding RNA, 484 nt
Organism: Mesocricetus auratus (golden hamster)
Lineage: Eukaryota; Metazoa; Chordata; Mammalia; Rodentia; Cricetidae
Exons: 4
Source: RefSeq, a predicted model, not a curated record
UGAAGGGCCCAAGGCAGGAAGCUUCCUGUUUACCGGAGGUCUAAGAAUGCCACAGCAGGGUUGGGCGGUCACAGUUUAGAGAGAAGUCAUUUCCUUCUAAGACUCUGCUGAAAUACAAACCAGACACGCUGCAGACCUAGAGGGCAGAUAGGGGAUGAUGGCUGGAGCCCCAGUGAUGUGGAUUGACAUCUCUGCAGAAUGGAGAGGCAACCCUGACCCCUCCCACCUGAAAAAACUAAGGCUGGCCGCUGGUCUCUGCGUGCAGAUUCCUCUACAUCCUGAAGCACACUGGUCAGCCUCAAAGAUACUAGCACUGUUUCCAUCAACCUUCCAUUGAGCAAAGCAGCCGUGUGACCAUAUCUACAGCAAGGAAGGGAACACAGAAUACAUUUACCCCAAGUUCCAUGGAGUCAUUGUUCUAAGUACAGUCUCUCAAGCAGUUAUUGGUGGCGACCAACACAUUAAACAAGUCAUCUGCAAGCCG